CUACGGGUUGCUGCAGUGAGGAAUAUUGCACAAUGGGGGGAACCCUGAUGCAGCAACGCCGCAUGGAGGAUGACGCAUUUCGGUGUGUAAACUCCUUUUAUAUGUCAAGAAAAUGACGGUAGCAUAUGAAUAAGCACCGGCUAACUCCGUGCCAGCGGCCGCGGUAAUACGGAGGGUGCAAGCGUUACUCGGAAUCACUGGGCGUAAAGGACGCGUAGGCGGGUUGGAAAGUCAGGUGUGAAAUCCUACAGCUUAACUGUAGAACUGCACUUGAAACUUCUAAUCUAGAGUAUGGGAGGGGGAGAUGGAAUUAGUGGUGUAGGGGUAAAAUCCGUAGAUAUCACUAGGAAUACCUAAAGCGAAGGCGAUCUCCUGGAACAUUACUGACGCUAAGGCGUGAAAGCGUGGGGAGCAAACAGGAUUAGAUACCCGAGUAGUC
RNAcentral lists this ribosomal RNA (439 nucleotides) under uncultured bacterium. RNAcentral's name for it is "partial 16S ribosomal RNA". It matches the Rfam family "Bacterial small subunit ribosomal RNA", at positions 339 to 795 of the family's 1533-position model. The record is from RNAcentral.